GAGCGGAUGACAGGAGCUUGCUCCUUGAUUCAGCGGCGGACGGGUGAGUAAUACCUAGGAAUCUGCCUGGUAGUGGGGGACAACGUUUCGAAAGGAACGCUAAUACCGCAUACGUCCUACGGGAGAAAGCAGGGGACCUUCGGGCCUUGCGCUAUCAGAUGAGCCUAGGUCGGAUUAGCUAGUUGGUGGGGUAAUGGCUCACCAAGGCGACGAUCCGUAACUGGUCUGAGAGGAUGGUCAGUCACACUGGAACUGAGACACGGUCCAGACUCCUACGGGAGGCAGCAGUGGGGAAUAUUGGACAAUGGGCGAAAGCCUGAUCCAGCCAUGCCGCGUGUGUGAAGAAGGUCUUCGGAUUGUAAAGCACUUUAAGUUGGGAGGAAGGGCAGUAAGUUAAUACCUUGCUGUUUUGACGUUACCGACAGAAUAAGCACCGGCUAACUCUGUG
This 448-nucleotide ribosomal RNA is filed under the name uncultured bacterium. RNAcentral's name for it is "bacterial SSU rRNA". It matches the Rfam family "Bacterial small subunit ribosomal RNA", at positions 64 to 507 of the family's 1533-position model. The record is from RNAcentral.